UACGGAGGGUGCGAGCGUUAUCCGGAUUUAUUGGGUUUAAAGGGUGCGUAGGCGGAUCGUUAAGUCAGUGGUCAAAUUGAGGGGCUCAACCCCUUCCCGCCAUUGAAACUGGCGACCUUGAGUGGAAGAGAAGUAUGCGGAAUGCGUGGUGUAGCGGUGAAAUGCAUAGAUAUCACGCAGAACCCCGAUUGCGAAGGCAGCAUGCCGGCUUCCGACUGACGCUGAAGCACGAAAGCGUGGGGAUCGAACAGG
Molecule: ribosomal RNA, 252 nt
Filed under: uncultured bacterium
Lineage: Bacteria
Description: partial 16S ribosomal RNA
Rfam family: Bacterial small subunit ribosomal RNA
Source: RNAcentral